AUUGAACGCUGGCGGCAGGCCUAACACAUGCAAGUCGAAUAGUAACAGGAAACAGCUUGCUGUUUCGCUGACGAGUGGCGGACGGGUGAGUAAUGUCUGGGAAACUGCCUGAUGGAGGGGGAUAACUACUGGAAACGGUAGCUAAUACCGCAUAACGUCGCAAGACCAAAGAGGGGGACCUUCGGGCCUCUUGCCAUCAGAUGUGCCCAGAUGGGAUUAGCUAGUAGGUGGGGUAACGGCUCACCUAGGCGACGAUCCCUAGCUGGUCUGAGAGGAUGGCCAGCCACACUGGAACUGAGACACGGUCCAGACUCCUACGGGAGGCAGCAGUGGGGAAUAUUGCACAAUGGGCGCAAGCCUGAUGCAGCCAUGCCGCGUGUAUGAAGAAGGCCUUCGGGUUGUAAAGUACUUUCAGCGGGGAGGAAGGGAGUAAAGUUAAUACCUUUGCUCAUUGACGUUACCCGCAGAAGAAGCACCGGCUAACUCCGUG
Molecule: ribosomal RNA, 490 nt
Filed under: uncultured bacterium
Lineage: Bacteria
Description: partial 16S ribosomal RNA
Rfam family: Bacterial small subunit ribosomal RNA
Source: RNAcentral